RNAcentral lists this unclassified non-coding RNA (212 nucleotides) under uncultured fungus. RNAcentral describes it as "sequence contains ITS1". The record is from RNAcentral. Lineage: Eukaryota; Fungi.
GUAAUAAUUACAUUGUUUACUGACGCUGAUUGCAAUUGCAAGAGGUUUUAGUUUGUCCUAUUGGCGAGCAAGCCCGCCAAGGAAACAAAUAGUACGCAAAAGACAUGGGUAGAAUCAGAAAGGAAUCAACCAAUGAGCAGGGCAAGCCCCAAGCACUGAUCUAAUCCCCUGAUAGAAGGGUAAUGAUCCUUCCGCAGGUUCACCUACGGAAA